AGGCAACAUCCCAUCAGGCAACUCCCAAUCAAAGCAAUGGGCUAAUUGAGCUAAAAUAAGACGCAUGCUGAUUAGAGCUAACUGCAUUCCGGGACAUCCUCUACGACCGGUUCCGAACGGAAUGAGUUCGAAAUCAUGCCCUCGAAGGUCUAUCUUCCUAUCCUUGAAUCUUUCUGGAAAGAACUCUUCGGCAUUGCUCGACCAUAUCUUGGGAUUUCGCCCCAUAGACCAAGUGUUCACCAAAAGCCGCGACUUCUUAGGUAUGAAAUACCCAUUAACGGUGACAUCUUCGGUCGACUCGUGCGGGACUAAUAACGGCGCCACGGGAUGCAACCUGAAACUCUCUUUUAUGACCAUAUCCAAAUAGGCAAGUUUCGGUAGGUCCGACUCUUCUACCAUUCUAUUCCUUCCGACAACACUUUCUAGCUCUUUCUGGAGAGCAACCAUGACUCGAGGAUGCCUUAGAAGUUCUGAAAAUGUCCACUCAAUGGCCGUGGUUGUAGUGUCGAAGGAAGCUGCCACCAUGUCCACCAUUAUAGCCUUGAUGUUUUCUCUACCAACGAUGUAGGGUUGAUCUUCAUCGUUAGGGUUUAUGGGUGUAUCCAACAACGAAACCAUCACUUGAAAGAAAUUUCUAUAAGGUUUUUGGUCAUCCAUGUUAAUCCCUUGUUGGUAUUCAUCUAUCAUUUUGUCAAAAAAUUCGUGAAGGCCACUGCUCACCUUCUUAAGCCUUCUUGUAUAUCCCUGCAGCGUAAAGAUAGAUAUGAUAGAAUCAGUUUUAUAUUAAUUGUAUUGUUCAUUACAAUUAUUCUUUGCGAAAAAACCAACUAGUCAUUCAAUCAAAUAUUAGGACUUCCGUGUUCCAGUCUGCAUCUAAUAAGAUUACUGUACACAAUUUAUUAUACUUUAAAAUUUGUAUUAUUAUUAGUACGAAAAAAUAAAUAAAUUAUGAAAAAGAAAAAUAGUACAUAAAAAACAGGAUAUAAGGAGGAAAAAAAAACGUUACCUGAAGAUCAAGUGGAGCAAGGAAAGGCACAUAAUCCGAGAGAUUGAAAACCCCAGCUAAGUGCAUGGCCUGGCUUAAAAUCGAUUUUAUCAUCCAUGGACCGCCCGAAUAACACUUUCGACAUCAUUCCUUCAAGAACCUUAGCCACCGCCUGGCUAAGUUUUAUUGUUUCACCCGCCGCCGCUACCUUCCUCACUGAUUCAACCAAUAACCCCACCUCCGCCUUCCUUAUCGGGGCAAAACAUUCAACUUUGGAAGCACUGAGGAAAUGCAAAAUACUCCAUUUCCGUACAGUUCGCCAGUAAGAACCGUACUGGGUAAAAGCCAUGGCCUUGCCACCAUAUGCGAAGUAUUUCGCGGAUUGGACUUUAGGCCUGGAAGCAAAAACGACGUCAUGGACCUUGAGGAACAGUUCAGCGGCUUCGGGUGAUGAUACCACGAUGGUUGGUACUUUGCCUAGCAUUAUCGACAUGAUGGGUCCAUAUUUUUUGGCGAGAUAGUGAAGACUUUGGUGUGGGAGGUUCCCUAGCAUGUGGAUGUUACCUACGACGGGAAGAGGGGCAGGACCGGGUGGAAGUUUCCGGCCAUUGUUGUUGCGGUUUGGUGAGCUGAAGAAGUAGAUAAAGGAACAGAGAGUUCCAAGGAGGACGAAGAGUACGGUUAAUGUCGAAGAAGACAUUUGGGAGGGAAGCCAAUCACAAUAGCUGAUAGCCACUGGGGAUUGAUUGAUUGAGUACUUACAGAUGGAAGCAACCGAUGAUAGCCGCAAGGCGGGAGAAUUAGCCAAAUAUGUCGAUUUUAACAAAAACUAGGGAGUAGGAUUUUUUUUUUUAAAUGUAAGGAAAUAAAUUGAUUUUGGCUCAUACAUAGGUAAAAGCUUUGCGGGCUUAUUUUGCCAGUUGAAUUACUUACCAUGGUAAGAAAAUAUUAUUAUAAUUUUUAUUUUAAUUAAUAUUAUUUUUAAGUUGUUAAUGUUAUUAAAUUUUUUAUUUUUUUAUGUUUAUAUAAUCAAGAUGAAGAUUAAAUUAUUGAAAUUUAUAUACACGCAAUUUAAAUAUAAAAUCAUCACGUGUUAUUGAACAAUACAUGAAAGAGAUAUGAUUCUUACACAUGUCUCAUAUGCUCAACGAGACUAAAUUGGAGUCUGCACUUAUCAGUGCUUUGCUAGAGAGAUGGAAAGUUAAAAUAUAUACAUUCCAUAUUUUGUGCGGUGAGUAUAUAAUUACAUUUGAGGAUGUAUCAUUACAACUCAAUUUGUCAAUUGAUGAGACAGUCGUUACGGGAGAUGUACAUGUUGGGAGUUGGAGGUCAAUUUGCCACCAGCUAUUAAGCAAAGUGCCAAACAAAUUGGGAGGUGAAGGUCAAUUUGCCACCUGCUAUUAGGCAAGGUGUCAGACAAUUUAAUGGUAAGCUAUUAUAAGAUUAUAUAUUUAUUUAUACAUUAAUAAUUUUUCUUAUGUAAAAUUUGUACAUUCAUAUAUUUUUAUCCUAUUUAUUUUAUUUCCAUGAUACGAUAUUUUUAACACUUUUGUAUCAUGUUUUAAUUCGAUAAUGUUCAUAGUUUUAUAAAAAAAUUCAAUUUUAUUCUAAAUUCAUCUAUUUAACAAUUAAGAUAUUGCAGAUGCCAUAUAUUUAUAAAAAUAUCCUGUUAAAAAACUUAAUCUUAUUUCAUGAAGCAUAGGGAGUAGGUACUUUCUAGUUCGUAUAAAUUGUUGACCAUAUUAUUUAACACUAAAUUUAUUUUUAAAUAUUUUUAAAAUGGUGAAUAUAACUAGUAGGUCUCUCACAUAUAGGGACUGAACUACUAGAAGUUAAUCUUUGUACUAAUAAAAAAUUAUAUUAUAUUAAAUUAUAAUAAAAUUAAUAUUUAUUUUUAUAUGAAAAUUUUAAUUUUUCGUUUGCAACAUAUUUCAUUUACAAAAUAAAAAAAUAAAAAAUAUUAUUUUAUUAAACAAUAAGACUAACAUUGAUAGCUAGAUUUCUAAAGCUGGAAUUUUUGACAUUGAAUGAAACUUGAACAAAGAAAAUGCAUCUCACGGAAAAGGAAAGAAAAAACAAAGGAUACACGGAUAACGAAAGAAAUUGACAGAGAGUGGCCCUACAUCAUGAUAAUGAUGAUGGGCACCCAAACCGCAAACUUUACUACAAAAUGCCAGAAACACAUAGAGCACAGUCAAAACUCUUGAACGAAAGAGACGAUGGAAUCAGAGGCGGAUUUAGGGGUAGCAGUCACAGCUGCUAAAAUGUAAAAUUAUUAUUUAAGUUUUUAAAUUUUUUAAAAAAAUUUAAAUUAGUAAAAGUAAAAUUAUAUUUCGGCCUCCUUUAUAUUAUAAAAAUUUAAUUUAAUUUUUUAAAAAUUAUAAAGAUAUAGACUAUAAAAAAUUAAAUAUUCAUUCAGCCCCUUAAAAAUUUGUUCUUGUUUCGCCCCUGAAUGGAAUUGGCGAAGGAAAUUAUAACACCCUAAACCCGGCCUAGACGUUAUGGCCGAAUCUAGUGAUGUCACAAGAAUUGAAUUUCGAAAACCAUGUUGACUUGGUAAACCGUUACUAUUUAAAAUUUACUAAAACUGCCAUUUAGUCGGUUUCUCUACCAAAACUUAUUAUAGCGGAAGCUUUAAUCAUUUAAGUUCGAAAACGCAGGCAUGUUUUUAGGAAAAUCACUAGUUGCAUAAAAACCGUUGUUUUAGUAGAACAUUUUUACCAAUGUAGUUAAAUCGUCAAAUGAUCCCGGAAAUAACCAGUUAAACCAAACAGUCCAGAAAGUCCCAAAAAUUACAAAUUCUCAAAACAAAUCUGAAACUUAAUAUAAAACCAUAAAUAAAUUAAUAACUAAAAAAUCGUUUACUGUCAUGUGGUCACCGUUGAGUCUCUUGCCAUACGUCUGUGGAUUACCUGACAGAAAAACAAACAGAUGUGUGUUUACAUAAACUCAGUGUGUAACUCAGCAGAAUUAAGCAUGCAUUCAAACAUCAUCAUAUACACAAUCAGAAACAAAUAGAGAUUCAAAAUCGAGCUCAGACCCUUUACAGAUACAAAUACAGAUACAGUAAACAGAAUCAGAAUCCUACCCCCGUCCUCUACACACCAUAUUCGACCAUCCUAAAACACCAUGUGGGGUUAAAAAAACACUCACCCAUCCCUACACACCAAAUUGUGCCAUUACGACACGUAUCAGAUAUAGUGCAGCCAAACUGCUAGAUAAUAGGUGACUAACGCUGAACAGAUACUUCCUUCGCAUAUACAAACCCACUCUAAAUAGAUACAGAGCACACACACACACACAUAUAUAUAUACAGAAUUAACAGACACAGCAUGCUUAACAGGCUUAUACAAACAGAUAGCAGACAUGAUUAUCACAGUCAUACUCAGAACAAUAUCUCAGUCUAUCAAAUCACAUAGUUUUAGGGUUCAGUUUGUAAUAGCUUGAAUUUCAAUGAUGUCGAAAAUAGUGGUUCGAGACCAUCAAAUCCAACAAAUGAACUCGUAGAUUAUAUUAUUUAAUAUUUACGAGCCAAAUGUAGUUUUUAAAAGAUUUUUGGAAUAGUAAAUUGUGUUUUAUAAAGAUUUAUUUGGUCAAGAAAUUCAGAAAAAGAGGUAUCGAGAUCUCAAUGUUAUAAACCAAGCCAUAAAUAUUUUUAUAAAUAUUUACGAAAUGUCAAUAAGGUAGCAUUAAAAUUUCGUUAGAAAAUUUUGACGUUUGGGUGGUCAAUUAAAUAAAAAGGAUUAAAUUGGAAAAUGUGUAAAAGUUGCUAAAAGGAUUAAAUAGCUCAAUUGUCAAAUGAGGAAGGACCUAAAGUGAAAAUAAGCCCAAAGGAGAUAUUUUGGGCGGCAAUAGCUGAGAAAAAUCAGGAAACGGGUGAAAUAAGGGCAAAAUUGGAAAAUUGCCAAAAUUAGCUAAAUAAAAAAGGGACUAAAUUGGAAUAUCUAGAAUUCUCUUCAUUUCUCUUCAUAUUCAUCAGCUGAAAAACAGCCUUGGAAGGGGGUUCAAGCUGGUUUUCAUGCUCUAGCUUCAUGUAAGUUUAAUUCUUGCUUUCUCCUUGAAAUUUCUAUGUUUUUGGAAGUUUACAAUUGAGUCCAACUUAAUAUUUCAUUAGUUUUUGAUUCCAUGGCUAAUUUUUAAAGUUUUUAUGGAUGAGUGCUGAAAUAAUAUGAUGAAUAAUCAUAGAAUUGAAGCUUUAAUUUUGGUAUAUAAUGAUUUUAUCAAGUAAAAUUGAUGGAAAUUCAUUUUAGGGCCUAAUUAAGAAAGAGUUUGGAAUUAAUGUCUAAUGUUAAAUUUAUGAUUUUUAGGGGUUAUGAAGAAGUUUAAAAUGAUAGACUAAAGUAUUAAUUGAGAAAAAUUAUCUCAAUUGAGGGGUUAAUUGAGCAAGGAGUGAAUUGUAUAAACUGUGAAAUUUGGGGCAAAAUGGAAAUCAACAUUUUUCACUAAAACUGUUUUGGACAGCAGCAGUAGUGUAACUUUGAAAAAUCACCAAAAAUUGUAUAAAUCGAAUUAGAGGAUGAAUAAAAUAUGAAAAUUAAAGCUUAUUGAGUCUAGUUUCUUAUAAAAGAAACGAUGUAAGCAAUGGAAUUGUGAAUCAUGAGAUAUAAUAAAUUUUAUGAGACAAGGAAAGAAUGAUUUCGGGUUCCCCUGUUUUGACUUUGGAAAAUCAUAAAAAUUGGAGAAAAAUAAUUAGGGGCUUAAAUUUAUAUGUUUAGAAUCCUUAAUGAUCCUAUUUUCCAUAGAAACAAACGACAACAUCAUUUGAAUCUUGUACAAGGGUAUAAUUAAUUUUUAGUGAAGAAGAGUCGGAACUGUUAGACAGCAGAACAGGGAUAACUUUAAAGAAUAAACUGUACUUAUUGGCUAAACCAAAAAUUCUGAAAAUUUUAUGGUAAGAAUAUAUGAGUCUAGUUUCAGGGAAAAUUAUUGUAUCUUAAUGUGGAGUUAUAUAGCUCUAGAUAUAAAUAAUUUAGUGACUAUGACACAGAUGGACAGCUUAAAUAUUCAUAAAAGUAAAUAAUAAAGAUUAUAGAUAAUGUUACUUACAAGUGUGUUAUAUACAUUAAGGAUGUGGAAUGGAGAGGAGGAGGAGGAAAAUAUAUAUGAAUAUCCAGCUAGCAUGGCUAAUUUGCAUGUUUUAGGCUUAAGGACUGAAUUGAAUAAAAGUAAAACUUCAGGGGGUAAUUUUGUAAAAAUGUCAAAAAUGACCAAAUUGAAGGGAAUGGAUUUUUUUAUUAUCUAAAUUAAUAAAUUGAAUGAAAUUUUCAAUUUAAGAUCGGGUGAAAAUUGAGAAAAUGGUAAAUUACCAAAAUGCCCCUUAAUCUUGAUAUUUCUGCAAUUUCGCCAAGUAAGUUCGUGUAACUUGAAUUAUAUUCUUAAAUGCUUGAAAUGUAUGUUUUUUUAUAUGAAUAUGAUUUGAAUGUACAUUAUAUGGAAAUUUAUGAAACAUUGAUAUAUUAAAAAAAAAAGGAAAAAAAAUCCCGGUUGAAUGGAAGGAAAAUUCGAUGGAUAUCUGAAAAGGAAUUGACGAUAAAAAGGAUCUAGCCCGGACGGGUGAUCCUAUCCUGAUAUAGCCCUCCCGAAGAAUAUGUGGAAAAUGGAUUUAGCCCGGACGGGUAAUCCGAAUUAGGGUCUGAAUUUAGCCUGGACUGGUAAUUCAGAUCCAAGCUCAUUAGAGUAAUUGUUGUUGCAGGGGAUUUAGCCUAGAUUGGUAAUCCCGACAAUACUCUAUGAGUUUAUAUUACAGGGGAUUUAGCCUGGACUGGUAAUCCCACUGUAAGGAUGAGGUUCUUAGGAGUGUGCUCUCUGAUAUGGAAUGUGUAAGACCAUGGUUGAAAGAUACCAUGGCAACCUGAUAUGAAAUGUGUAAGACCAUGGUUGAAAGAUACCAUGGCAACCUGAUAUGAAAUGUGUAAGACCAUGGUUGAAAGAUACCAUGGCAACGUGAUAUGAAAUGAAUAAGACUAUGGUUGAAAGAUACCAUGGCAACCUGACAUGAAAUGAGUAAGACCAUGGUUGAAAGAUACCAUGGCAACAUGACGGGAAAAUGAAUAAGACCAUGGUUGAAAGAUACCAUGGCAACAUGACAGAAAACGAGUAAAACCAUAGUUGAAAGAUACUAUGACAUCAUGUCGAAGAUAAAUAAGAUCGAGGAAGAGAAACGCUAAGAUAUCUAUUGAACAAUCGAUAUUCAGGUAAUAUGUAUCAGAUGGAAUGGUUAUAUGAAAUGGUUGUGUGAAAUGUUUACAGGAAUUGGUCAUAUGGAAAUAUAUGUACAAGAUAGUUGUAUGAAAUAAUUAAGAAGAUAGAUAAAUGAAAUAAGUAUAGGUACAUGGAAUUUAAUUUAUGUUAAGUUUAAUACGAACUAUUACCGAAAUAAAUAUAUACAAGAUAUAAGGAAAUGAUGGUGCAUGAAAUAUUGAUAUAACGAAAUGAAUGAUAUAUGCUUAUGAAGAAACAGUAAGAGAAUAAUAUAUUUUGUGACAUGUACAUAUAUAAUUAUUUUUGAUAUGUUGAUACAAGGAAGUUAUGUAAGUUGAGACUAUUAUUAAACUCAAGUGUGAUAUGUUGAGAAAAUAGGUAUAUCAAUGUUGAAUUUAUAUGAAAUAUGUGCAAGUAUACUAACAAUGUUGUUGUUUGACGCUUAGACAAGUGCCAAGCUAUUGAUUGAAUAGUAACAUGUUUAAUUAUAAGGAGCAUUGAAAUGGUAAGUACUUAGAUGAAAAUAUAAUUUAAGAUUUUGCGAAAUUUUUUAUGAUCUCGAUUUUAUUCUAGUUGGUUUCUAAUGUAUGUUUUGGGCUUCGAGGGCCCAAUAGAGAGACGUUAUGAUUAUUUCAAAAUAUGAAUAAUAAAUGACUCAAAAUUAUCUGAAAAUAUUCAGUAAACUCCGAUAAUGCCUCGUAUCCUAUUCCGGCAAUGAAUACGGGUAGGGGGUGUUACACAGUUAGCCUUUACCGACCCUACGGUUGGCCCAUAGUCGGUUAGGAUGACCCGCGUGACCCAACAGAGAAUUUCAGUAUAUUGGGCCCACAUGCCCUUGUGGCCCCACACGCUUAGAUUAGUUUCCCUGUGUGGCCCACACGGGUUGGCCCAAUAAUCCACACGCUCAUGUGAAAUGCCCCAUAUGGGCCCACAUGCCUAACUUGGUCUAGCCCGUGUGGCCCACACGGCCACACUCGAGCCACCACACGGUGGUGUCUUGCGAACGACAUUGUCUUCAUCUACCACACAAUCGUGUCCUCACACACAGCCUACCACAUGGGCAACCAUACGCCCAUGUGGCAUCGACAGUUUUGUUUUUCGACUUUUGCCGAAGUCUCAUUUUCUGCGUUUCGAGCACACACCUGGUAUCAAUUAGAUGCGAAAACACACCCGAGCUUUCCAAAACCUAAGAAUCGACAUACCAACGCUCAGAAUCAAACUUAAUACACGAUUAAUUCAUAAUUACGAAACCAACAACAAACCAAUCAUUUACUCUAACACCCUGAGCGACUACGGUUCCAAUUACCUACGAGGAGAGCCCUUUUCUUCCUAAUUUGCUGCUGUCAAAACAACAAUAAGAUUUUAAACGAAGAUUUGAAACUACAAAUAACGAAUUUAAGAACCACCACUUGAGCAAAUCAUUCAAAACUCAUUUACCGACGUACAAACACCUUAACCCAAAGCUCAGAAGUUAAGAAUCGAAUUUUGCCCCAAACAAAGAAAAAGAAAGAUGGACGAAACAGAAGAAAAAGAAUUGUAGAGAGGAAAAGAAGAAAAAAGUCAAAUAUCUAAAAAGGGAUUUUUAGGAAAAAGAGAGUUAAACUCAAAUCCCACUACACCACAAUCCUAACCACCCAUUACUCAAAAUUCUACCCCAACAAAAACUCUAUCACGAAGCCGAGCAAAAAUAAUUCCUAAGCUCACGUAAGGAUUUGAACACAAGACCUCUAAUAGACUAACUCUUUACCACUCGAACCAGUAGACUCAUUCUAAUAUGAAAUUACAGACAAUUAAAAUUAAGCCCGCUGAACAAGGACAAAGCUUAAUUCUAAAAAUAACAAAAUUUACUAAAGAUAGAGCUUGAACUUAGGACCUCCCACACACAAAGAACAUUUAACCACUGAAACAGAUAUACAUUUGUAUCACAUUUUCACUAAAGAAGAAAUAUAUUAUUCAGGGCGUUACAGAAACACAAAACAGAGCAGCAACACCUUAAUUAAGUCCCCUGCAUCAUUCUCUCAACAUAAACCAAAGGAUUAAGUCUCUGUUAGAAUAAGUUUUAUUUGUUUAUGCUCAUUUAUUUAUUUUGAUAAAUCAACAUAAACAACAACCCAAAUGUUCAUUUACAACCUUAACUUUAAGCAAUUAAACGAUAAGUCGGCUUUGCAAGUAAAUGAUUAGCCCUCGGCAACGUAAGGCCGAACUUCUCGGUCAUGUCGAGUUCAUUCGACAACAUCCCAUCAGGUAACUCCCAGUCAAAGCAAUGGGCUAAUUGAGCUAAAAUAAGACGCAUGCUGAUUAGAGCUAAUUGCAUUCCGGGACAUCCUCUACGACCGGUUCCGAACGGAAUGAGUUCGAAAUCAUGCCCUCGAAGGUCUAUCUUCCUAUCCUUAAAUCUUUCUGGAAAGAACUCUUCGGCAUUGCUCGACCAUAUCUUGGGAUUUCGCCCCAUGGACCAAGUGUUCACCAAAAGUCGCGACUUCUUAGGUAUGAAAUACCCAUUAACGGUGACAUCUUCAAUCGACUCAUGGGGGACUAACAACGGCGCCACGGGAUGCAACCCGAAACUCUCUUUUAUGACCAUAUCCAAAUAGGCAAGUUUCGGUAGGUCCGACUCUUCUACCAUUCUAUUCCUUCCAACAACACUUUCUACCUCUUUCUAGAGAGCAACCAUGACUCGAGGAUGCCUUAGAAGUUCUGAAAAUGUCCACUCAAUGGCCGUGGUUGUAGUGUCGAAGGAAGCUGCCACCAUGUCCACCAUUAUAGCCUUAAUGUUUUCUCUACCAACGAUGUAGGGUUGAUCUUCAUCAUUAGGGUUCAUGGGUGUAUC
RNAcentral lists this long non-coding RNA (10016 nucleotides) under Gossypium barbadense (sea-island cotton). Its description in RNAcentral is "long non-coding RNA (GBAR_LNC000155)". Lineage: Eukaryota; Viridiplantae; Streptophyta; Magnoliopsida; Malvales; Malvaceae. The record is from RNAcentral.